Molecule: long non-coding RNA, 2137 nt
Organism: Sphaerodactylus townsendi
Lineage: Eukaryota; Metazoa; Chordata; Lepidosauria; Squamata; Sphaerodactylidae
Exons: 2
Source: RefSeq, a predicted model, not a curated record
AUGGCCGAGUCUAGUGAGACGCUCGUGCCAGAAGGGUUUAGUUGUGGGAGGGGGGAGGGGUGUGAAGCAAUUCAGGUUUUCUCAGGACCGAGGGCGACAUGAGAGGGCCAACACAGUGGGCUCCUUUAGUCGAAGACUUAGGAGACUUUCGCAGUCCCGCGAUGAUUUGCGGGUUCGAGAGUGGAGGCUUUGUCUCAGCGAGAGCUGUGGAAAGGUCCUGGGACUGGAGUCAAAGACAAAAAAAGACUUCUGGGUAAAAGUGUUCCCAGAAAAAGGGGGGGGGGUAGGAGGGAAAUCCUAGGGAGGGGAAACGGGAGUAAUAAUAUUACUAACUAUUCUGAUGAUCUCGUGGAGAUAAGUGAUUAAUCAACCCCUGAGUGUGGAGAGAGAGGCGCGCGCGCACGCUGGCGAAAGAGAGAAGCGGGUUGAACAGCUUGCUCGGUCCUUCUGUGGAGAACAGGCGCUUUCCUCUCACGCCUGCGGUGUCAUCUGGGAGCUGAUGUGGGCAUCAACCAACUGGAAAACAGCUGCCCAAGUUGAAACCCUGAUUCUUCGGCGAAUGUAGAGGUCCCGCCAAGACUUACAAACUCAAAGGCACAAUUCAACAGGAGAUACUCAGUGGGACCUUGUACUAUUUCCCAAUAGUAAUUGGUGUUAUUCAGCUGUCUAUGGACACCUAGUCUUUAGUAUCCAGUAUGACAAUGCUUCCACUUUUAUCUGCUUUCUUCAUAGUGAUGUUUUUAUCAUUGGCUAGAGAUUUUAAUAUUUCCCUGACCCUUAAUGUGCAGAUAAAGGGCUGGGCAUUAAAGUGGCAGCAUUCCAGGCAUUUUCAGUCACAGAGAGCCAACCUCUCAAACACAUUAAUAUCAUUCUGUAUGUGUGGUAUAAAUUUCGAUUUAGGCUGAAACUGUGUGGGUCCAGGUUGUAUUUCUUCACCAAAGAAUUUAUGUAAUUUCAGUUGUCUAACCAGUUUGAAAAGAUCGACUCGAGUCAGGAAUGCUCUCUAAAGAGGCAUGGGUGAAGAAGACAACAGCAAUCAUGGGCUGAACCAAUGCUACACAGUUCCUUAAAGGAAACAUUACUUCUGUUAAAAUAUACCACUCUUUUGCUGAAGAAGAAGAAGAGGGUUUUAUUUCCUAAUGAAACAGGAUUUUUUGUUAUCCGGAAGACCUGUCCUUCUUGAAUUUAUUUGAGCUGUUUCUUCUCACACACUUCUAUUGGAUCUUUGAUUGCUGCACCGAUUGCAUUACUCUGUGCUUUCCUAUAUUGAUUCUGCUCUAGACUUUGUUGAAUUCUACUCAACUAAUUAUGGAGAUUCUUUAGUGAAUCAAACAUGAUUCUUUUGUGAAUGAGGCCCUUCUACUUAUGAGCUUCCAUAUCAGACCACUUUGGGCACAUGGGAAAAGAUGCAGCAUAUGAUCUCACUUCCAUUGUACAAAAGGUAGUGAGCCAGCUAAGUAAAAAUCUGAGCCAUCCCCCAGCAAACUGUGUCAUGUUUAGCCUUUGAUAGCUAGGCUUCUCCCUGUUUUUGCCUACCUGUUCUGCCUCCCCCUUGCCCUGCUGAAAUUAUAGGAUGGGGAUUAGGAGCCAUUUUUCCUCCUUAGGUUAUUCUGUAGAAUGGGGUAGCACACACUAUGUAUCCUAGCCAGGGCUCUCCAUGCUCUGAUCACAUAUAGGCUGGGCUAUUUCAGUGUACGCUGCAUAGGGCUGCCUUUGACAGCUCAGAAGCUUUAAUUGAUUCAAAAAACAGCUGCCAGACUGCUGACAGGUGCAGAUUACCAGAAUCACCUCUUCCUUAUAUUGGCAUAGGCUGCCUGUCCUUCUGGCCCAAUUCAAAGUGCCAGUGAGUGCCAGUAAAGCACUAAGUGGUCUGGGGUCAGGGAACUGGGGGGUGGGGGAGAGAAUGUACAACUUAUGGCACCUCCUGAAAGAGGUUUCAAGGCAAGAGACGUUCAGAGAUGAUUUGCCUUUGCCUUCCUCCACUGAGCAGCCUCAUCUUUUAUGGUCUUCGGAAAUGUUGUAUCAGAUACUGAUGUUUAUAUCACUAUUUGUCAUUGCAGGAACCUAUUGGUUUAAGGGUGGCCUAUAAAAGCCUAAAAUAAACAAAUAAAAUGUAUAUUGAUUGCACUAAUAGCAA